UUGACGGGGCCCGCACAAGCGGAGGAACAUGUGGUUUAAUUCGAUGAUACGCGAGGAACCUUACCUGGGCUUAAAUGUAGAGUGCAUUUUUAGAGAUAGAAAUUCCCUUCGGGGCUUUCUGCAAGGUGCUGCAUGGUUGUCGUCAGCUCGUGCCGUGAGGUGUCGGGUUAAGUCCCAUAACGAGCGCAACCCUUAUCGUUAGUUGCCAUCUGGUAAUGCAGGGGACUCUAGCGAAACUGCCACCGUAAGGUGAGAGGAAGGUGGGGAUGACGUCAAAUCAGCACGGCCCUUAUGUCCAGGGCUACACACGUGUUACAAUGGUCGGUACAGAGGGCAGCUACCUGGUGACAGGAUGCUAAUCUCGAAAACCGGUCUCAGUUCGGAUCGAAGUCUGCAACUCGACUUCGUGAAAGCGGAAUCGCUAGUAACCGCGAAUCAGCAGGUCGCGGUGAAUACGUUCCCGGGCCUU
Molecule: ribosomal RNA, 469 nt
Filed under: uncultured Sphingobacteriales bacterium
Lineage: Bacteria; Pseudomonadati; Bacteroidota; Sphingobacteriia; Sphingobacteriales
Description: bacterial SSU rRNA
Rfam family: Bacterial small subunit ribosomal RNA
Source: RNAcentral